GACGAACGCUGGCGGCGUGCUUAACACAUGCAAGUCGAACGGUGAAGCACCUUCCUUUUGGUGGGUGUGGAUGAGUGGCGAACGGGUGAGUAACACGUGAGUAACCUGCCCCCUUCUUCUGGAUAACCGCAUGAAAGUGUGGCUAAUACGGGAUAUCCUGGGUCUGUCGCAUGGCGGGCCUGGGAAAGAUAUUGUUUCGGUGGGGGAUGGGCUCGCGGUCUAUCAGCUUGUUGGUGGGGUGAUGGCCUACCAAGGCGGUGACGGGUAGCCGGCCUGAGAGGGUGGACGGUCACACUGGGACUGAGACACGGCCCAGACUCCUACGGGAGGCAGCAGUGGGGAAUAUUGCACAAUGGGCGCAAGCCUGAUGCAGCGACGCCGCGUGAGGGAUGGAGGCCUUCGGGUUGUAAACCUCUUUCGCCAGUGAAGCAGGCCUGUCCCUUUUGUGGGUGGGUUGACGGUAGCUGGAUAAGAAGCGCCGGCUAACUACGUG
Molecule: ribosomal RNA, 493 nt
Filed under: uncultured bacterium
Lineage: Bacteria
Description: partial 16S ribosomal RNA
Rfam family: Bacterial small subunit ribosomal RNA
Source: RNAcentral